AGCGAACGCUGGCGGCAGGCCUAACACAUGCAAGUCGAGCGAGGACUUCGGUCCUAGCGGCGGACGGGUGAGUAACGCGUGGGAACGUGCCCUUUGCUUCGGAAUAGCCCUGGGAAACUGGGAGUAAUACCGGAUGAGCCCUUUGGGGGAAAGAUUUAUCGGCGAAGGAUCGGCCCGCGUUGGAUUAGGUAGUUGGUGGGGUAAUGGCCUACCAAGCCGACGAUCCAUAGCUGGUUUGAGAGGAUGAUCAGCCACACUGGGACUGAGACACGGCCCAGACUCCUACGGGAGGCAGCAGUGGGGAAUCUUAGACAAUGGGGGAAACCCUGAUCUAGCCAUGCCGCGUGAGCGAUGAAGGCCUUAGGGUUGUAAAGCUCUUUCAGCUGGGAAGAUAAUGACGGUACCAGCAGAAGAAGCCCCGGCUAACUCCGUG
RNAcentral lists this ribosomal RNA (433 nucleotides) under uncultured bacterium. Its description in RNAcentral is "partial 16S ribosomal RNA". It matches the Rfam family "Bacterial small subunit ribosomal RNA", at positions 29 to 507 of the family's 1533-position model. The record is from RNAcentral.